RNAcentral lists this ribosomal RNA (246 nucleotides) under uncultured bacterium. RNAcentral describes it as "partial 16S ribosomal RNA". It matches the Rfam family "Bacterial small subunit ribosomal RNA", at positions 1256 to 1500 of the family's 1533-position model. The record is from RNAcentral.
CGCGAGAGUAAGCUAAUCUCUUAAAGCCGUUCUCAGUUCGGACUGUAGGCUGCAACUCGCCUACACGAAGUCGGAAUCGCUAGUAAUCGCGGAUCAGAAUGUCGCGGUGAAUACGUUCCCGGGUCUUGUACACACCGCCCGUCACACCAUGGGAGUUGGUAACGCCCGAAGUCAGUGACCCCAACCUUAGGGAGGGAGCUGCCGAAGGCGGGACUGAUAACUGGGGUNAAGUCGUAACAAGGUAUC